AUAAAAAUCACCUAGAGAUUUUGUUAAGAUGAAAAUUCCAAUUCAGCAGAUCAGGGAUGGGGUCUGAAAUUCUGCCUUUCUAACAAGCUCUGGAUGAUGCUACU
RNAcentral lists this microRNA precursor (104 nucleotides) under Marmota monax (woodchuck). The record is from RNAcentral. Lineage: Eukaryota; Metazoa; Chordata; Mammalia; Rodentia; Sciuridae.